Molecule: ribosomal RNA, 261 nt
Filed under: uncultured archaeon
Lineage: Archaea
Description: partial 16S ribosomal RNA
Rfam family: Archaeal small subunit ribosomal RNA
Source: RNAcentral
CAGCCGUAAACUAUGCGCGUUAGGUGUACUGGUGACCACGAGUCACCGGGGUGCCGAAGGGAAACCGUGAAACGUGCCGCCUGGGAAGUACGGUCGCAAGGCUGAAACUUAAAGGAAUUGGCGGGGGGAGGCACCACAACGGGUGGAGCCUGCGGUUUAAUUUGGACUCAACGCCGGAAAUCUCACCGGAUAGGACAGACAAAUGAUAGUCGGGCUGAAGACUCUACUUGAUGAUCUGAGAGGUGGUGCAUGGCGUCAGUG